CAGCAGCCACGGUAAUACAGAGGGUGCGAGCGUUAAUCGGAUUUACUGGGCGUAAAGCGUGCGUAGGUGGUGGUUUAAGUCCGUUGUGAAAGCCCUGGGCUCAACCUGGGAAUUGCAGUGGAUACUGGGUCACUAGAGUGUGGUAGAGGAUAGUGGAAUUUCCGGUGUAGCAGUGAAAUGCGUAGAGAUCGGAAGGAACAUCUGUGGCGAAGGCGACUAUCUGGGCCAACACUGACGCUGAGGUACGAAAGCAUGGGGAGCAAACAGGAUUAGAGACCCCCGUAGUCCCUGUCUCUUAUAC
This 301-nucleotide ribosomal RNA is filed under the name uncultured bacterium. RNAcentral's name for it is "partial 16S ribosomal RNA". It matches the Rfam family "Bacterial small subunit ribosomal RNA", at positions 509 to 807 of the family's 1533-position model. The record is from RNAcentral.